RNAcentral lists this ribosomal RNA (792 nucleotides) under uncultured archaeon. Its description in RNAcentral is "bacterial SSU rRNA". It matches the Rfam family "Archaeal small subunit ribosomal RNA", at positions 85 to 879 of the family's 1478-position model. The record is from RNAcentral.
ACUGCUCAGUAACACGUGGAUAACCUGCCCAAGGGUCUGGGAUAACCCCGGGAAACUGGGGAUAAUACCGGAUAGAUCACCUAUGCUGGAAGGGCUUGGUGGUUUAAAGGUAACGCCUUUGGAUGGGUCUGCGGCGGAUUAGGUUGACGCCGGUGUAAUGUACCGGCGUGCCUGUAAUCCGUACGGGUUGUGGGAGCAAGAGCCCGGAGAUGGAUUCUGAGACACGAAUCCAGGCCCUACGGGGCGCAGCAGGCGCGAAAACUCUACAAUGCAGGAGACUGCGAUAGGGGGACAUCGAGUGGCAUCCACCUUGGGUGCCUGUCCAACCGUCUAAAAAACGGUUGUUAGCAAGGGCCGGGUAAGACCGGUGCCAGCCGCCGCGGUAAUACCGGCGGCUCGAGUGGUGGCCGAUAUUAUUGAGUCUAAAGGGUCCGUAGCCGGCUUUGCAAGUCCCCUGGGAAAUCCAGCGGCUUAACCGUUGGGCUUUCAUGGGAUACUACAUUGCUUGGGACUGGGAGAGGUAGGAGGUACUCGGGGGGUAGGGGUGAAAUCCUGUAAUCCUCCGGGGACCACCGGUGGCGAAGGCGUCCUACCAGAACAGGUCCGACGGUGAGGGACGAAAGCUAGGGGCACGAACCGGAUUAGAUACCCGGGUAGUCCUAGCCGUAAACGAUGCCCGCUAGGUGUCACGACAGUCGUGAAUUGUCGUGGUGCCGUAGGGAAGCCGCGAAGCGGGCCACUUGGGAAGUACGACCGCAAGGUUGGAACUUAAAGGAAUUGGCGGGGGAGCAC